GUUUUUGUCUAGUUGUGAUUUACUUUGCAUUUUCGUACGUUUUCUCAACAACCAAACUGAGAAAGGAAAAAAGAAAUUAAAGACAAGCUUAUCAUGACCAUAUUCCGAUAUGGGUGUUCCAGAGGAUCGAAAAAAAAUUGUGUCAACAAUCAACUCCUCUCUUAUGGUGGCUCCAACCUGCAAAAACAACUCCAUUCAGUGCACUUGUUCGCAAGUUCUGUGGGUUUUGAUUUUUGUGGGUUUGCUUGUUUGAUUCAAUACCUGUGCAUUUGUUGGGCGACCUCUUUGAAAACAGCCGAUGCUCUGUGUUGCUGAGUUGAUGCCUUGGCAUCUUGGGGGCUAAGAAACAGGAGCCUGCAUCCUCUUCAACUGCAGUUUGAAAGGUUAUUAUACAUGGGGAUGAAAGUAGUGGAUUGGGACGAUUGUGAUGUUCCAGGCAGUUUAUUAGUGGCUAUUGGUCUGUAACCAUAUUAAAAAUAUUGUAAUUGAAAUUUAUAUCCUGUGCACAUUGCUUCAAACCCUAUUGAUUCAAGAUGAUUUUAAUC
Molecule: long non-coding RNA, 545 nt
Organism: Alnus glutinosa
Lineage: Eukaryota; Viridiplantae; Streptophyta; Magnoliopsida; Fagales; Betulaceae
Exons: 2
Source: RefSeq, a predicted model, not a curated record